GAGGCUGCAGUAGGGAAUCUUCCACAAUGGACGAAAGUCUGAUGGAGCAACGCCGCGUGAGUGAAGAAGGGUUUCGGCUCGUAAAACUCUGUUGUUAAAGAAGAACAUAUCUGAGAGUAACUGUUCAGGUAUUGACGGUAUUUAACCAGAAAGCCACGGCUAACUACGUGCCAGCAGCCGCGGUAAUACGUAGGUGGCAAGCGUUGUCCGGAUUUAUUGGGCGUAAAGCGAGCGCAGGCGGUUUUUUAAGUCUGAUGUGAAAGCCUUCGGCUCAACCGAAGAAGUGCAUCGGAAACUGGGAAACUUGAGUGCAGAAGAGGACAGUGGAACUCCAUGUGUAGCGGUGAAAUGCGUAGAUAUAUGGAAGAACACCAGUGGCGAAGGCGGCUGUCUGGUCUGUAACUGACGCUGAGGCUCGAAAGUAUGGGUAGCAAACAGGAUUAGAUACC
Molecule: ribosomal RNA, 449 nt
Filed under: Lactiplantibacillus plantarum
Lineage: Bacteria; Bacillati; Bacillota; Bacilli; Lactobacillales; Lactobacillaceae
Description: bacterial SSU rRNA
Rfam family: Bacterial small subunit ribosomal RNA
Source: RNAcentral